Molecule: non-coding RNA, 962 nt
Filed under: Babyrousa babyrussa (babirusa)
Lineage: Eukaryota; Metazoa; Chordata; Mammalia; Artiodactyla; Suidae
Description: partial 12S ribosomal RNA
Rfam family: Bacterial small subunit ribosomal RNA
Source: RNAcentral
ACACAGGUUUGGUCCUGGCCUUUCUAUUAAUUCUUAAUAAAAUUACACAUGCAAGCAUCCACGCCCCGGUGAGAAUGCCCUCUAAAUCUUAAAGAUAAAAAGGAGCAGGUAUCAAGCACACCUAAGCGGUAGCUCAUAACGCCUUGCUCAACCACACCCCCACGGGAAACAGCAGUGAUAAAAAUUAAGCCAUGAACGAAAGUUCGACUAAGUUAUAUUAAUUAGAGUUGGUAAAUCUCGUGCCAGCCACCGCGGUCAUACGAUUAACCCAAAUUAAUAGACCUACGGCGUAAAGGGUGUUUAAGAAAAAAAAACAAUAGAGCUAAAUUAUAACUAAGCUGUAAAAAGCCCUAGUUAAAAUAAAAUAACCAACGAAAGUGACUCUAAUAUUUCUGACACACGAUAGCUAGGACCCAAACUGGGAUUAGAUACCCCACUAUGCCUAGCCCUAAACCUAAAUAGUUAUAUAACAAAACUAUUCGCCAGAGUACUACUCGCAACAGCCUAAAACUCAAAGGACUUGGCGGUGCUUCACAUCCACCUAGAGGAGCCUGUUCUAUAAUCGAUAAACCCCGAUAAACCUUACCAACUCUUGCCAAUUCAGCCUAUAUACCGCCAUCUUCAGCAAACCCUAAAAAGGAAUAAUAGUAAGCACAAUCAUUUCACAUAAAAACGUUAGGUCAAGGUGUAGCUUAUGAGUUGGAAAGAAAUGGGCUACAUUUUCUGAACAAGAAUAUUAAUCACGAAAGUUUUUAUGAAAUUAAAAACUAAAGGAGGAUUUAGCAGUAAAUCAAGAAUAGAGUGCUUGAUUGAAUAAGGCCAUGAAGCACGCACACACCGCCCGUCACCCUCCUCAAGCAUAUAGUAAUAAAAAUAACCUAUACUAAAUUACAUAACCAUGUAAGAGGAGACAAGUCGUAACAAGGUAAGCAUACUGGAAAGUGUGCUUGGAUACCAAAGUA